GAUACUUUCUUCUCCCCUGCUCUUCUUUUGAGGAGGAGGAGUAAAAGAGUGUUUGUAGUGGAGUUUAGUUGUCCAGAGGGUAAAACUGCCACACAAAUGAGCCUCUUGAAUAGGUUAACAAGUCACUUGUAAUUCAUUUCAUUCUUAGAUUCAGUCUGCAGUCUGCAUGCAGUAAUUUCCAGCUGACAAGACUUUUUUUUAUUGCCAUCUCUUUGUAUUUCAGCUUUUAAUUAUUCCAUAAUGACAGUCUUUGUGAACAACAGUUUUUAAAGCGACAGAUGUAGUGACUUCUGCAUUUUCUGAUAUUAGCAUGCAAAUCAACAUAAAACAUAGCCAGCUUUUUAUAGUCAGCUUUUUUUUUUUUUUUUUUUUUUUUUUUUUGGCAUGUUCUAUAUUGCUUGACACCAGAAUACUUACUGCUUGGAAAGAUGGAGGGAAAAACACUGUGUUUCAUAGCACUAUACAUCAUAAAAGAGCUAUCUGUAAUGACCACAUCAUCAGAUAAUAAUUUUCAAAAUUCCCAUCAUACUUUACCAAACAUGUCCUCAGUUAAACUCCUCCAAACCUGUUUAUUUGAAUUGAAAACAGAGGAAACCUUAAGUGUAACACAAGAUGCUGAUCCUCCAGCUGACUGCCUAAGCUGCCUAUGGGACUCAUCUGGAAUACUAUUUUCAAGAGUAUUGUCAAGCUAAAUAUGCUACAACAAGAUCCAGUAUUGUCUCAGCCCUCUCCAGAUAUGCAAGGAGUUGUCUGCAAUUCAGUCCAUUUAUCUUCCAACACUGGCUCUUCUGCUGCAGUUUUUUACCUCUGUGCUCCAUUAAGAGUCUAUUAUGUGACAUUUAUCUACUCUUAUAUUCUUCAUUCUCCAAUUUUCUGAAAACUGCCAGAAUAUUCCCUGUUCUAUAAGAAAUCCAAGUGGCAUGAUUUAGAUGGGAGAUCUGCAAAAUGAAUGCAGCAUUGUUCUGUUCAUUGACAGAGUUGAUCAUUGAGCACUGUUCUACACCUUACCUGUUUCUCUGUUAGAAACCUAGAAUACUUGCUGUUGUUAGGUUUGGGACUCCCAGUUUCUUAGAUCUCCCCUUGCCCAACGGCAUUGCCAGGAGGAUGUGUUUGUUUUCUCCAGAUUCUCAAUGAAAAUUGUAACCACUGGGAUCAGUCAGAUUUGUGAUCAGUUUUGAUAAAUCCUGCUAUAAGAUACUGAUAUCAGAUUGAUAUAUCAGUUUCAGCAAACAGUUUUGCCAUUUUAAAUCUCAUGUUUUCAAAGUUUUUGUGGAGACCAAAACAAAUCGUUUCAUGAUUUAUAUGUCGCAGACACAUUUUCAUGCCAGUUUUUCCUCACUGUGUAGUUGUCGUUUCUCAGAUGAAUUUAACUUAACCCCUUGUACUCCUUCUUUGCUUGCACUGGUACUCUUCACCCUGCAUAAUCCAUAUUAAAUUUAGCAGCCAUUGUGCUCUGAAUUUCUGUUCUAAUACAGUUACCAAUGAUUUUAAGCUCCCUAGGCUUUUUUUUUCUUCUUUUUUUUUCUUUCUUUUUUUUUUUUUUAAUAUAUGCAGGACUGUAGGACAUGAUAUUAGAAGUUUUCAGACCUUGGCUCCUUGUCUUAUCUGCCUUUUAGCAGUAAAAUGUGUAAACCAUAUUAGAUUUAGAGAUCCAUCACACAUGCUGACAUAAGGAGAUGCUUAUGUUUCCUGUUCAUCACAAGCACU
Molecule: long non-coding RNA, 1707 nt
Filed under: Anas platyrhynchos platyrhynchos (common mallard)
Lineage: Eukaryota; Metazoa; Chordata; Aves; Anseriformes; Anatidae
Description: lncRNA (ENSAPLG00000017789.1)
Source: RNAcentral